GGCCUUCCAUUGGCUUUGGAAGUAAUAGGUUCUCACUUGUUUGGCAAAAGUUUAGAUGUAUGGAAAUCUUCAUUAGAUAAAUAUGAAAGAGUUCUUCACAAAGAGAUUCAUGAAAUUCUUAAAGUUAGCUAUGAUGAUUUGGAUGAUGAUCAGAAGGGUAUUUUUCUUGACAUCGCUUGUUUCUUCAAUUCUUAUGAAAUGAGCUAUGCCAAAGAAUUGCUAUACCUACAUGGUUUUAGUGCUGAAAAUGGAAUUCA
Molecule: microRNA precursor, 257 nt
Filed under: Medicago truncatula (barrel medic)
Lineage: Eukaryota; Viridiplantae; Streptophyta; Magnoliopsida; Fabales; Fabaceae
Description: miR2609a stem-loop (mtr-MIR2609a)
Source: miRBase by way of RNAcentral